CUGGUUGAUUCUGCCAGUAAUCAUAUGCUUGUCUCAAAGAUUAAGCCAUGCAUGUCUAAGUACAUGCCGAAAUAAGGCGAAACCGCGAAUGGCUCAUUAAAUCAGUUAUGGUUCCUUAGAUUGUUUCUUCCUACUCGGAUAACUGUGGCAAUUCUGGAGCUAAUACAUGCAGUGAGCCCUUGUGUCCUUUUUGGCCAGCGGGUGCUUUUAUUAGACCAAGAUCAAUCGGGCUUCGGUCCGUAUUGUGUGGUGACUCUGGAUAACUUUAUCCAAGUAGGAAGAAACAAUCUAGGCGACGUUUCUUUCAAGUGUCUGCCUUAUCAACUUUCGAUGGUAGGUUACUUGCUUACCAUGGUUGUUACGGGUAACGGAAAAUCAGGGUUCGAUUCCGGAGAGGGAGCCUGAGAA
This 408-nucleotide ribosomal RNA is filed under the name Haemaphysalis sp. RNAcentral's name for it is "SSU rRNA". It matches the Rfam family "Eukaryotic small subunit ribosomal RNA", at positions 4 to 402 of the family's 1831-position model. The record is from RNAcentral. Lineage: Eukaryota; Metazoa; Arthropoda; Arachnida; Ixodida; Ixodidae.